CCGCUGCCACAGAAGCAGCUACCCCGCCUGGACGAGUGCACAAAUUUGGGUCGUUCCUUAGCUCAGCACCGAUCACUCCUUCUGCGUCUUUGCGGGUCACCGGCUUAUCAGAUGGCUACAAAAUUGGGUGGUUCUGGUUUUCAAAUAUUUGGUGCCUGGGGUGAUACAAAGUCCGACCUCGCCUAUCGCCGAACGGAAGAGCUUCGAGUCCAAGGUCGGAUGGUCUCGACCUAAUGGCUAGUGCCCUAGGGGCAGUACAAGGUCCGACCUCGCCUAUCAUCGAACGGAAGAGCUUCGAAUCCAAGGUCAGAUGACCUUGACCUAAUGGCUAGUGCCCUAGGGGCGGUAAGAGGUUCGCAAUUGGUUUUCUUCUUUCGUUUGAGAUUCUCGCUAUUUGGUCAGCAAAAUAGAAGAUUAACAGGGAGGCUUCUAUGUAAAUGACGUUUUUAGCCCUGCUAAAAAGGAGAAGUAAGGGGUUAACAAAUUAGCCUGAUAAUAGGCCGAAAGGACAUUUAUACUAAAAAACGACAAUCAUGGACCUAGAUUGCAAGUUUUAAAACUCGUGGUGCAAACCUGAUAGUGCCACUA
This is a long non-coding RNA of Ipomoea triloba (trilobed morning glory), 588 nucleotides long. RefSeq lists it as uncharacterized. NCBI's taxonomy places the organism in Eukaryota, Viridiplantae, Streptophyta, Magnoliopsida, Solanales, Convolvulaceae. The record is from RefSeq and is a predicted model, not a curated record. The transcript is spliced from 3 exons.